GAUGAAGAACGUAGCGAAAUGCGAUAAGUAAUGUGAAUUGCAGAAUUCAGUGAAUCAUCGAAUCUUUGAACGCACCUUGCGCCCUUUGGCCAUUCCGAAGGGCAUGCCUGUUUGAGUAUCAUGAACACCUCAACUCUUUAUGGUUUUCCAUGAUGAGCUUGGACUCUGGGGGUUUUGCUGGCUCACAGUCGGCUCCUCUAAAAUGAAUCAGCUUACCAGUGUUUGGUGGGUAUCAUGGGUGUGAUAACUAUCUACGCUUGUGGUUUUUCCACCAGGUAACCUUCAGCAGUGGAGGUUCGCUGGAGCUCAUAGAUGUCUCUCCUCAGUGAGGACAGCCCUUUGAAUGUUUGAUCUCAAAGCAGGUAGGACUACCCGCUGAACUUAAGCAUAUCAAUAAGCGGAGGA
This 405-nucleotide unclassified non-coding RNA is filed under the name soil metagenome. Its description in RNAcentral is "partial contains 5.8S ribosomal RNA, internal transcribed spacer 2, and large subunit ribosomal RNA". The stretch from base 1 to 121 matches the Rfam family "5.8S ribosomal RNA", at positions 35 to 154 of the family's 154-position model. The record is from RNAcentral.